AUGUUUAGAAACACCCUUCAUGUGCUGCCAGUACAUGUACUACAUGUGCUACAUGUGCUACAUGUGCUACACCCUUCAUCUACUACCGAAUGUCCCUUCAAAUAUUCUUCUCACACACCUGUGAAUCUCUGCCAGCUGAGAAGACGCCACCGACUGGAAGUGCAGCAGGGGCCCACGCAUGGACGUCAGAGCUGCUCUAUCCCCACGCAACAAGAUGAAGCAAAGCCUACCUCGCUCUCCUGUGGCUUCCCGGCUCCAGGACUGAACCCGCACUGCACUGCAGAUCUCCCCAGCCUCCUAGGUGAGGUGAGCCUCAGCAGCUCUCAUUCAACUGCACGGCCGGGAGGUGAGAAGAAGUGGAGGGUGAGCCCUGGACCAGGCUCUGUGGCCCCAGAGACGAGAUGAGGCACCGCCUGCCUGGGCUGGUGGCUGCAGGAAGAAGCCAGAGGGCCAUGUGGCUGCAGGAGGGGGCGGAGGCUGGGGAGGGAGCCACAGGGGACAGCAAUAAAUACGAGUUCCUCUCCGUGCCCCGUGCCUCUCCCCAGCCUCCCUGGAGGAAAUGAGAAAUUUAGCCUUGUCCACUGGUCACUGGGAAGCAGAGAAUAAACACGCUGAGAACCACACAGCUGAGACUAAGCAGGACAGCAGCAGGAGCUGACGGGUGGCCUCACCUUUCACCAAGUACUUUCUUCCUGAAGUCUCUGCAAAGUCAAGAACGCCCUCAUCCUGUCCCCCCAAGCUGAAGAGUACUGGAGCCACGGUUCAGAUGUUCCACAGCUGGCCAGCUAGGGAGGGCCCUGAAGAAUCUGUCCCUGGCCACCUCAGGAGAGACCCUCUCUCUGGCAUCUUUGGAGAGAGCCUGGUGACCUUCCUUUGCUAAUCUUGGCAAAGCUUAGAAGGUUCUCGGGCUGUUUUGCCCUGAGGCUUCAAGAAUUGUCUGAAGGCUCCACCUGUAGACUGCUGGGAGCGGCCCCUCCCCAUCAUUUGUGGGGUGCAGAGAAACAUGUCGAAAAGCCACUCAUUCAAAAAUUUAAAAUUUCAAGAUGGCAACAAUAGAGCAUGAAAUCCCAAGCAGGGCCCCGCCGAGCCAAGAUCUCUGCAGCUGAACCGGGUGCGCCCUCAGGAGGCCAGCACGGCUGCAGGAGGAAGACUAGGAGGCAUUGCGUUUAACAGGCUGAGUGCGGAGAGGUGUGGAUGCGCCCCGCUUUGCCCUGUAAGGUGGAGGUCACCCCCUGAACACAACACCCACCGAAGCGGCACAAGGGGGAUGCCGGGCUGUGGUGGCGGCACUGUGUUAAAACCUCACUGUGGUCUCCUUGCUCGAUUCUCAGCUCUCCCCGGUGCAAUCUCUCCCAGUGCUGGAGAAGUCCCUCCCAGGGCAGCCUUCCAGAGUCAGUUCCCAUGCCUAAUAUCUAGCUAAGAACAGAGGCCAAAUGCUUUGGCUCGUCACAGGCUGGCCUCUCCUACACUACCUGCAGCCCUCAGGUCCUCUCCUCGCUCUCCCCCUCGGUCCCGCCUUCCCCAUCUCUCCUGUUCAUGGCUCUGCGCGGGAACCGUGUCCUCCUCCUGUCAUGUAGGCCUGAGUCUCACACCUUCGGGCUCCCGUUCCCUGAGUCCUGGCCCUCUGUGACUCUUCCCAGGCGGAGCUCAUCUCUCCUCUCCUAACACUCCAAGCAGGAAACCUGUCUGCACAUCCCUCUGCCUCCCGCUGGGCUCACACUGCGACAUCCUGCACUGGGUCUGCUGCAGCUUUAAAACCAAGGCUCCAGACCCCAGGCCCCAGACCCCAGCAGUGUCUGAUUCCUGUAAACUCAAGGUUAAUAGGAAGUGUUAUUAAUUAUAGGUACCUUCAGGGGAAAGAGAAAAUGUAUAGCUCAGAGGGAAACAAGAUCUUCAUUAGGGUUUUAGAGUUGAAACUCUGACAGACACAGAGGCAGCACGUCACAGGCGACACUGAUGUGGCUAUUUGCUAAAAUGUCACCAUUUCCAUGUGCUGUACCUCUCUGCCUUCACACAGACAGGUCAGGAGUAGGGGACAACGUCCUCCGUGCAGAAAAUGAAGGCUUAGCCUCACCUAAGAGAAGGAGAACAUGUUAGCAAGGCUGGAGAUAAAGCUGCUGGAGGUGAGGCAGGAGAGAAAGAAAGGAGUGAACACAAAAAGGGAAAGGGGGAGGCAUUGGGAGGAGCAAAGAGAAAGAAUGAAGAUGGGAGGUGUGGAAAGCAGACAGGGUGGGGACAGGAAGGAGGAGGAGCACUCUCCCAGGUUGCCAUUUCCUCCUCCAUAAGCACCCAAAGGGCAGGUCUUCGGUCUGCGUGUCUUGCCAGGUGCUGCACUGUCCCUGUUCCCUGGUGAUCGAGAGCAGAGGGGCACAGGAAUUAGCUUCUGCCUUUGCUUGGACUUUGACACACUGUCAAAGCCACACACUCAUCUGUCGUUUCAUGUCUCUGAACACUUCCAGAACAAUAUCAGCACCGGAAUUUCUGAUGGGUGUUCUGUUCUUUCUCAGGGUCCUCCUGAGUCUAGUGGUCACUUGAUGAGUUUAUAAAGUCUGGGUGUGGCUGACAGGUCCCCCCACUGUGGCCACCUGGCUGAGUACAAAUGACUGUAACAGAGAUCCAUUGGCUAGCACUCAUAAAGACAAUCCAAAUAUGUAUGAUUCUGAAUAUCUAGUUGUGUGCACUGAAUUGGAAUUUAAUAUCUGCAUAAUCCAUAACAAAACAAAGAUAGCUAUUAAAUCAAUUGCUCAAAUUUUCAUCCGGAAGGUUCAAUUUGGUUCCUAAUGAAUGAAUAUGGCUUGCAGUGGAGAUGAAGUGUCAGGGGGAUAGCAAAAGACUUCCAAAUGGAAGCACAUAUCUGAUUAUCCUGUCAGAAGAGCACUGAGUGUGAUUUAGAAAACACUUUGUUGAAGGCUGGAUCUCUAGAAGAUGUAGCUGAAUCUACAGGGAAUUUCUAAGGGACUAGCUUUCUCUAUUUUAUAAUUCUGAAAGAUGUAGGAACUAGUAGUAACACAAAUGACUCUUAUCCCCAGAAAUGAAGAUUACCUUUGUUUGGCACAGAUAUAAUUGAUUUCCAUCUUGCAGAAAUUAUUAUUCCAAACAUUCCCCCUUGAGUGCAUUAUAUUACCUGGUUUUAUAUCUCUGAGCAAAUCCAGUUCAGUGCUCUUGUCUAUGUAUAAAUAUCUGCUCUCAAGAUUUGCCUCGGAACUAGUAUAAUAUUCUCCCUGCCCUCUUAUUAACUCAUGGGUUAAAAUCCGUGCAACACGUGUAUUUUAUAUUUAUACAAGAGUUAUGAUUUCACCUUUCUGAAAACUAGCUUUCGACAGAAGGCAGGUGAUAAGCAGGAAUUCGCCAUGGUGGAAUUGUUUUCCUUAAAUAUUUUGACUAGUUUUAUAUGUUCCCUGAGUAUGUAAAAUAAAAACAGGGAACAAACUGUGUAGACGAUGAGAGUAAAGGCUGGGAGAAGGAAACAGCCGAAUACAGGUGCUCAGCUUGGCCUCCUGCAUACAGAGAGGAACAACAGCAGACACAUGGUGAGGUGGCUGCUGGAGGGAACGCUGGAAAUCAGCAGGGAAGAGAGCUUGUGUGGUUGAGAGAUUGGGACAGCAGCACAGAAAGAAAAAUGAAAUCCCCAGCAUCUGCACCCUGACUCCACAGCCUGGAGAGGGAGGAUGAGUGGAGAGUCCCAGACACCCUUCCCUGUGACAUGCUGGUGUCCUCCCUGCUGUGUGGGGUUCCAGUGUCCUUGUAAGCUUGCAGCCCACUCAAUUAAGUAGUCAAAAUACAUCCGUGGGACCUGCUGUGGAGAAGGAAUUCACAUCCUCUCCAGUGAACCCCAGGUGCUGGAGCCAGGGUCCUUCUUGAGAAAGAUACCAGGAGGCCUUAAUGCUGAAUUUUACUAAACUUUAAAGAAUGAAUGGCAGUUCUUCUCAAACUAUUUGAUACAACCAAAAGGAAGGAAACCUCCCAGAUUCAUUCUAUGAGACCAGAAUUACCCUGUUGUUAAAACCAGUUGAGGAUGCAGCAAAAAAGAAAAAUCUACAGUAAAAUCCUUGAUGACAAUAGAUGCAAAAAUUCUCAACAAAACACUAGCAAAUUGAGUUCAACAGAAUGAUGAGAAGAUCAUACACCACAGUCAAGUUGGCUGUGUCAUGAGGUUGGCUCGACACAUGCAGCUCAAUAAAUAUAAUGCAUCGUAUCCACAGAAUGAUGAGAAUCAUGCAAUUGUCUCAGUAGAUGCAAAAAACGAACUUCAUAAAAUUCACCAUUGCUUCAUGAGAAAAGCCUUGCACAAAUUAUGUUUAGUAGGAUCAUGUCUCAACAUAAUAAAGGCUGUAUAAGACACACACACAAUCAACAUCAAACUAAGUGGGAAAAUGCUGAAAGCAUUUCUUCUAUAAAGAAAGAUGAACUUGAGACAUUUGUAGGAAAAUGGAUGCACUUUGAGACCAUGUUAAUUGAAAAAAUCAGACAUACAAGCUUAAAUAUCUCAUUGUUUCUCUUAUAUGAGAAACCCAAAGUAUAAAUAAUUUAGAGAGCAAAAUAUAGAUAAUAAGAAACAGAGAGAGAGAGAGAGAGAGAGAGAGAGAGAGCUUUUGUAGGUGGGAAGGGACCAAAGAGGUGGAAGGAGCGGGGAGAGAGGUGAUAUGUUAUUUACAUGUACCAUUCCCCACAAUGGAUGCAAUCAUUAUGUCCUGAAAACUUAUACUAAUAAAAAUAUUUUUAAAAAAGAAUA
Long non-coding RNA from Chinchilla lanigera (long-tailed chinchilla), 4732 nucleotides. NCBI's taxonomy places the organism in Eukaryota, Metazoa, Chordata, Mammalia, Rodentia, Chinchillidae. The record is from Ensembl.